GACGAACGCUGGCGGCGUGCCUAACACAUGCAAGUCGAACGGAGUUAAGACUUCGGUUUUAACUUAGUGGCGAACGGGUGAGUAACGCGUGAGAAACCUGCCUUUCAGUGGGGGACAACAGUUGGAAACGACUGCUAAUACCGCAUAAUGUUAUUUGGGGGCAUCCCUGAAUAACCAAAGCUUUAUGUGCUGAAAGAUGGUCUCGCGUCUGAUUAGCUAGAUGGCGGGGUAACGGCCCACCAUGGCGACGAUCAGUAGCCGGUCUGAGAGGAUGAACGGCCACAUUGGGACUGAGAUACGGCCCAGACUCCUACGGGAGGCAGCAGUGGGGAAUAUUGGGCAAUGGGGGAAACCCUGACCCAGCAACGCCGCGUGAAGGAAGAAGGCCUU
RNAcentral lists this ribosomal RNA (390 nucleotides) under uncultured bacterium. RNAcentral describes it as "bacterial SSU rRNA". It matches the Rfam family "Bacterial small subunit ribosomal RNA", at positions 28 to 418 of the family's 1533-position model. The record is from RNAcentral.